GAUGAACGCUGGCGGCGUGCCUAACACAUGCAAGUCGAACGGAGAUUACGGACGGAAGUUUUCGGAUGGAAGCCUGUAAUUCUUAGUGGCGGACGGGUGAGUAGCGCGUGGGCAACCUGCCCUAUACAGGGGGAUAGCAGCUGGAAACGGCUGGUAAGACCGCAUAAGUCGGUUAAAUCGCAUGAUUUGAUCGGGAAAUGAGCAAUCAGGUAUAGGAUGGGCCCGCGUCCGAUUAGCCAGUUGGCAGGGUAAAAGCCUACCAAAGCGACGAUCGGUAGCCGGACUGAGAGGUCGGACGGCCACAGUGGGACUGAGACACGGCCCAAACUCCUACGGGAGGCAGCAGUGGGGGAUAUUGCACAAUGGAGGAAACUCUGAUGCAGCGACGCCGCGUGAGUGAAGAAGUAUUUCGGUAUGUAAAGCUCUAUCAGCAGGGAAGAUGAUGACGGUACCUGACUAAGAAGCCCCGGCUAACUACGUG
This 481-nucleotide ribosomal RNA is filed under the name uncultured bacterium. RNAcentral describes it as "partial 16S ribosomal RNA". It matches the Rfam family "Bacterial small subunit ribosomal RNA", at positions 28 to 507 of the family's 1533-position model. The record is from RNAcentral.